AAGAAGGAGAAAGAGCUUGAUCAUGAAAAAAUAGAGGUUAUUGCAAAUCUAUCAUCUCCAAAUGGAGUAAAAGACAUUCAAAAGAUUUUAGGAUAUAUGGAUUGAUAUUGUAAUUUGAUUGAAUCAUAUUCUACCUAUGCCUCUCUAUUGACUAAAUUGUUGAAGAAGUUCACUAAAUUUGAAUGGACUUCAAAAUAUCAAGCCAAUUUUGAUGCAAUUAAAGCUAAACUGCUUUUAUACUCUUAUCUACUAUCACUUAAUUGAGAUC
Molecule: long non-coding RNA, 268 nt
Filed under: Physcomitrium patens
Lineage: Eukaryota; Viridiplantae; Streptophyta; Bryopsida; Funariales; Funariaceae
Description: long non-coding RNA (PPAT_LNC000625)
Source: RNAcentral